UUAUUUCUGAUUUUCCAGCGUCGGAUGACACUCAAAAGUCCCACAGAUUGAGGCAUAGAAUACAUAAAUCGUCUGGGUCAUCUCAUAGGACUAUGAGCAUAUCUCUCUCCUGUGACUCGCAGUCUAAGGGGUAUGUUUCUACUCCUCGUGGGUCGAUGGUAUGUGACAUUUAUCUAAUCUUAGUUUUAGCCUUUGUGCCAUCCAGCUUUCAUGUGAAACAAUAGUGACAAACAUGUUCUUGGAUUUGUAGGUGGAUGCCAUACCCAACCCAUCAAAAGAGCAAUUAGUAGAUGUUGUUCAGAGGCAUUUCAUGUCACAGCAAAUCGGCGAGUUGCAAGUCAUUGUGGGAUUUGUUCAGGCUGCAAAGAGAAUGAAGACUCUGUGCAAAUGACGAUUCACGAAGAGAGAAAUGAAGAGCUAUGAAUUUGGUUGUUUAUGCUAACAGAUACUGCACUUAAAAAAUAUCCACUCCCCUCUAGUGAUUGUCUGUAAUAUAUUUUAUCCAGUGGCUUGUCUCUGUCUUGCUUUAGUAGGUUA
Long non-coding RNA from Carya illinoinensis, 537 nucleotides. RefSeq lists it as uncharacterized. NCBI's taxonomy places the organism in Eukaryota, Viridiplantae, Streptophyta, Magnoliopsida, Fagales, Juglandaceae. The transcript is spliced from 2 exons. The record is from RefSeq and is a predicted model, not a curated record.